CGGCGCUGCACGAAGCGCGGCCGCGCGGAGCAGCACGGAGCAGCACGCGGCGGGGCCGAGCACGCGGCGCUCGCUGCACGCUGCACUCGGAGCCCGCGAGCAGCGGAACAGCGCCCCCUACCGGCAGCACCGAGCCGCGCAGAGCCGCGUUACCAGCGCGGAGCCGCCCGCCCCGCCCCUCUGAGGGUCCUGGAAGCGCUCAAAGCCAAACGGAGAAAACAACGGCCCCAACCGAUGCUAUCUACCAGAGCGUUGUUGCGCUAUAGGAGCUUUUUGCGCGUGCGGUGUGUGCAAAAACGUGUUGCUGCCAUUUACCCGGAGCACUAAGUGAUUCCUGGAAAACUGGUGGUGAACUGGAUUCCACGAGUUGCUAGGACCGAACCUGUUACUGGUGUGAUGUUAACGGGAGCUUAUUGCCAUCGCUAAAGCCUUCAGCAGGCCUGAAGUUUUUGCAAAGCACUUAGGGAGGAAGCAGGACUCUGCGUCUGAAACGGAUUAUUUUUAUUUUCUUAAUUAUUGUUGGAUCUACUGCACUUCGUCACAGCAAGGAGAGGAAGAAGAGGGAAGGAGGAAGCGAGGAGAGAAAGAGGAGAGUAUUAAAAGAGUCGUGGAAAAGGAUGUCGGUAAGAUUUAUGGUUCAUAUAUUGCUAUGGAAAGGCUGUGGGUGGUGAGGAGCACGCUGUGGCAGUAAUUUAUGGCUCCUGGCUGUGACAGACUCCUGGACUGGAAAUGAAAAAGGUGCUGUUAAAACAAAAGCAGGCUAUCUGGGAUGUUGUAAACAAGAAUCCUCUUAUCACAGCUGCUAUCACCAUUGGCUGAUCGUUUGCUGGGAAAUUAGUGAAGCUGUAAUGGCUUCUGGGUUCAGCCUGGGACCUGUUGUGUCAGAAUUCAUCUGCUUGUUUACAGCACUUUGCAGGUAUGGCUACAAUGGCAAAGAUAGCGUGGAAUAAGGAUGGUUUUGCUCCUUUGCUAUUCCUCUGAGGUAGGAAGAAAGAGGGACUGGUAUAAACUUUCUUUUAGUCCUCUGUAACUAGGAGGGUACGGAUUUACACAAAAACUAUUUCUAUUCCACAGGGUGACUUUGAAAUAGGCUUAUAGUAAUUGCUUUAGAAGUUCUUUUGGAUCACUGCACCUCUCUACAUCCUUGUCUUUUGUGGCCUAUGUUAUUUUCUUGGUGUUUCUGGUGUUUGGUUUUUUCUCCGCUUGGCUCUUAUCCUUAAUCCGAGGAAAAUCUGGGGAACUGUUGUACUUUCAGCUCUCAGUAUAAACAAAUGUGAUGGUACCAAUAGCUGAAAUCAGAGCAACCAGCGAAUGAUUCUUCUCUGCC
RNAcentral lists this long non-coding RNA (1327 nucleotides) under Numida meleagris (helmeted guineafowl). RNAcentral describes it as "lncRNA (ENSNMEG00000019553.1)". Lineage: Eukaryota; Metazoa; Chordata; Aves; Galliformes; Numididae. The record is from RNAcentral.